ACGGAGGGUGCAAGCGUUACUCGGAAUCACUGGGCGUAAAGAGCGUGUAGGCGGGUAUAUAAGUCAGAAGGGAAAUCCAAUAGCUUAACUAUUGAACUGCUUUUGAAACUGGGUACCUAGAAUGUGGGAGAGGUAGAAGGAAUUUCUGGUGUAGGAGUAAAAUCCGGUGAGAUCAGGAGGAAUACCGGUGGCGAAGGCGAUUUACUGGAACAGUACUGACGCUGAGGCGCGAAAGCGUGGGGAGCAAACAG
This 251-nucleotide ribosomal RNA is filed under the name uncultured prokaryote. RNAcentral describes it as "partial 16S rRNA". It matches the Rfam family "Bacterial small subunit ribosomal RNA", at positions 525 to 775 of the family's 1533-position model. The record is from RNAcentral.